RNAcentral lists this ribosomal RNA (294 nucleotides) under uncultured soil bacterium. Its description in RNAcentral is "partial 16S ribosomal RNA". It matches the Rfam family "Bacterial small subunit ribosomal RNA", at positions 26 to 323 of the family's 1533-position model. The record is from RNAcentral.
AGAUUGAACGCUGGCGGCAGGCCUAACACAUGCAAGUCGAGCGGUAGAGAGGUGCUUGCACCUCUUGAGAGCGGCGGACGGGUGAGUAAUGCCUAGGAAUCUGCCUAGUGGUGGGGGAUAACGUUCGGAAACGGACGCUAAUACCGCAUACGUCCUACGGGAGAAAGCGGGGGACCUUCGGGCCUCGCGCCAUUAGAUGAGCCUAGGUCGGAUUAGCUAGUUGGUGAGGUAUGGCUCACCAAGGCGACGAUCCGUAACUGGUCUGAGAGGAUGAUCAGCCACACUGGAACUGAG